CCUACGGGUGGCUGCAGUGGGGAAUAUUGGACAAUGGGCGAAAGCCUGAUCCAGCCAUGCCGCGUGUGUGAAGAAGGCCUUCGGGUUGUAAAGCACUUUCAGUGGGGAAGAAAGCCUUGGGGCUAAUACCCUCGAGGAAGGACAUCACCCACAGAAGAAGCACCGGCUAACUCCGUGCCAGCAGCCGCGGUAAUACGGAGGGGUGCGGCGUUAAUCGGAAUUACUGGGCGUAAAGCGCGCGUAGGCGGUCUGAUAAGCCGGUUGUGAAAGCCCCGGGCUCAACCUGGGAACGGCAUCCGGAACUGUCAGGCUAGAGUGCAGGAGAGGAAGGUAGAAUUCCCGGUGUAGCGGUGAAAUGCGUAGAGAUCGGGAGGAAUACCAGUGGCGAAGGCGGCCUUCUGGACUGACACUGACGCUGAGGUGCGAAAGCGUGGGUAGCAAACAGGAUUAGAUACCCGAGUAGUC
RNAcentral lists this ribosomal RNA (465 nucleotides) under Vreelandella stevensii. RNAcentral describes it as "partial 16S ribosomal RNA". It matches the Rfam family "Bacterial small subunit ribosomal RNA", at positions 338 to 795 of the family's 1533-position model. Lineage: Bacteria; Pseudomonadati; Pseudomonadota; Gammaproteobacteria; Oceanospirillales; Halomonadaceae. The record is from RNAcentral.